Molecule: ribosomal RNA, 672 nt
Filed under: Roseovarius sp. RAS6
Lineage: Bacteria; Pseudomonadati; Pseudomonadota; Alphaproteobacteria; Rhodobacterales; Roseobacteraceae
Description: bacterial SSU rRNA
Rfam family: Bacterial small subunit ribosomal RNA
Source: RNAcentral
GAGGAUGAUCAAAAACACUGGGACUGAGACACGGCCCAUACUCCUACGGGAGGCAGCAGUGGGGAAUCUUAGACAAUGGGCGCAAGCCUGAUCUAGCCAUGCCGCGUGAGUGAUGAAGGCCUUAGGGUCGUAAAGCUCUUUCGCCAGGGAUGAUAAUGACAGUACCUGGUAAAGAAACCCCGGCUAACUCCGUGCCAGCAGCCGCGGUAAUACGGAGGGGGUUAGCGUUGUUCGGAAUUACUGGGCGUAAAGCGUACGUAGGCGGAUUAGAAAGUUAGGGGUGAAAUCCCAGGGCUCAACCCUGGAACUGCCUCUAAAACUACUAGUCUAGAGUUCGAGAGAGGUGAGUGGAACUCCGAGUGUAAAGGUGAAAUUCGUAGAUAUUCGGAAGAACACCAGUGGCGAAGGCGGCUCACUGGCUCGAUACUGACGCUGAGGUACGAAAGUGUGGGGAGCAAACAGGAUUAGAUACCCUGGUAGUCCACACCGUAAACGAUGAAUGCCAGUCGUCGGGUAGUAUACUAUUCGGUGACACACCUAACGGAUUAAGCAUUCCGCCUGGGGAGUACGGUCGCAAGAUUAAAACUCAAAGGAAUUGACGGGGGCCCCGCACAAGCGGUGGAGCAUGUGUUUUAAUUCGAAGCAACGCGCAGAACCUUACCAACCCUUGAC